ACUACGGGAGGCAGCAGUGGGGGAUAUUGCACAAUGGGGGGAACCCUGAUGCAGCGACGCCGCGUGGGUGAAGAAGCGCCUCGGCGCGUAAAGCCCUGUCAGCAGGGAAGAAAAUGACGGUACCUGAAGAAGAAGCCCCGGCUAACUACGUGCCAGCAGCCGCGGUAAUACGUAGGGGGCAAGCGUUAUCCGGAUUUACUGGGUGUAAAGGGGGCGCAGACGGCGAUGCAAGCCAGGAGUGAAAGCCCGGGGCCCAACCCCGGGACUGCUCUUGGAACUGCGUGGCUGGAGUGCAGGAGGGGCAGGCGGAAUUCCUGGUGUAGCGGUGAAAUGCGUAGAUAUCAGGAGGAACACCGGUGGCGAAGGCGGCCUGCUGGACUGCAACUGACGUUGAGGCCCGAAAGCGUGGGGAGCAAACAGGAUUAGAUACCCGUGUAGUC
RNAcentral lists this ribosomal RNA (440 nucleotides) under uncultured bacterium. Its description in RNAcentral is "partial 16S ribosomal RNA". It matches the Rfam family "Bacterial small subunit ribosomal RNA", at positions 338 to 795 of the family's 1533-position model. The record is from RNAcentral.